This is a non-coding RNA of Hemibagrus wyckioides, 693 nucleotides long. Lineage: Eukaryota; Metazoa; Chordata; Actinopteri; Siluriformes; Bagridae. The record is from the annotation of a RefSeq genome assembly.
AAAUAUUCCAUUCAGUGAAAACCAUUCAUCAUGUUCACUGUUAUACUGAUAUGUCUGUGGCUUUCAUUAGGUGACUCCAUGGCAGAUUCAAUAAAGCCAGUUUUCCCUCAUGAACUUGUAGAUGAAGGUGAUGAUGUUACUCUGUCCUGCAGCUACAAAGACUUCAGUGGUACUGUACGGAAUCUGCAGUGGUACAGACAAUAUCCAAAAUCUAAACCUGAGUUCCUUCUUUAUAUUUUUGAAAAUGGAGAUCUAAGUCCCAACACUCCCCCAAGAAUGUCUGCUAAAGUUCAUGAAGAUAAACAAGUGAAUCUGAUCAUCUCCUCUGCUGCUGUAUCAGACUCUGCUCUAUACUACUGUGCUCUGGCACCCACAGUGACAGGAAAUCCAGCUGCAUGGUACGAGUCAAGCCCCAGGGCAGGCCUCAAGUUGUCCUUCCUGUUUGGUGGUGGUGCUUCCUUCACUGCGUGCUGUGUGGCUGUGCAUGAUCUCACUGGUGUGCGGUGCGAUGUGUUUUUAGAGAAGCUCCAGAAGUUCUGCAACCCUGACCAGGAUAAAGCAGUCCUAUCAACCCGCUUCAAGCAGCCUGAAGUCUACGGCAAUGAAACCACCCGGUGCACCUUCAUGCUGUCUCUGCUGAUGAGAAAGCACUCGACUGGGCUUCGGCAGUGUGGGACUCGGAUCCUCAGGUGA